Ribosomal RNA from Lepisosteus oculatus (spotted gar), 119 nucleotides. NCBI's taxonomy places the organism in Eukaryota, Metazoa, Chordata, Actinopteri, Semionotiformes, Lepisosteidae. The record is from Ensembl.
CACCUCAGUCAUAUCACCCUGCAACUCACAACUGGCAACCCACUGAAGCUAAGCAGGUGUGAGCCUGGUCAUUACCUGGAUGGGAGACCUCCUGGGAAAAACUAAGGUUGCUGCUGGAA